This is a small nuclear RNA of Dipodomys ordii (Ord's kangaroo rat), 106 nucleotides long. NCBI's taxonomy places the organism in Eukaryota, Metazoa, Chordata, Mammalia, Rodentia, Heteromyidae. The record is from Ensembl.
GUGCUUGCUUCAGCAGCACAUAAACUAAAAUUGGAAUGAUGCAGAGACAAUUAGCAUGGCUGCUGCACAGGAUGACCUGCAGAUUUGUGAAACAUUUCAUAUUUUG